AGAACGAACGCUGGCGGCAGGCUUAACACAUGCAAGUCGAACGCUCGUAGCAAUACGGGAGUGGCAGACGGGUGAGUAACGCGUGGGAACAUACCCUCCGGUUCGGAAUAGCUCAGGGAAACUUGGAUUAAUACCGGAUACGGCCGAGAGGCGAAAGAUUUAUCGCCGGAGGAUUGGCCCGCGUUCGAUUAGCUUGUUGGUGAGGUAACGGCUCACCAAGGCGAUGAUCGAUAGCUGGUCUGAGAGGAUGAUCAGCCACAUUGGGACUGAGACACGGCCCAAACUCCUACGGGAGGCAGCAGUGGGGAAUAUUGGACAAUGGGCGCAAGCCUGAUCCAGCCAUGCCGCGUGAGUGAUGACGGCCUUAGGGUUGUAAAGCUCUUUCGCUCGGGACGAUAAUGACGGUACCGAGAUAAGAAGCCCCGGCUAACUUCGUGCCAGCAGCCGC
This 448-nucleotide ribosomal RNA is filed under the name uncultured bacterium. RNAcentral's name for it is "SSU rRNA". It matches the Rfam family "Bacterial small subunit ribosomal RNA", at positions 26 to 518 of the family's 1533-position model. The record is from RNAcentral.